This 703-nucleotide ribosomal RNA is filed under the name Streptomyces sp. RNAcentral describes it as "bacterial SSU rRNA". It matches the Rfam family "Bacterial small subunit ribosomal RNA", at positions 53 to 771 of the family's 1533-position model. The record is from RNAcentral. Lineage: Bacteria; Bacillati; Actinomycetota; Actinomycetes; Kitasatosporales; Streptomycetaceae.
ACCAUGCAGUCGAACGAUGACCCGGUAGCUGGGUGGAUUAACGAGUGGCGGGUGGGUGACUAAUAUAUCGUAUGCCCUUCACUCUGGGGGGAUCCCUGGAAACAGGGUCUAAUAAUACCAUACAACAAUCUCGGGCAUCCGAAGGGGACCUUCGCUCCUUAUGCUUUUGAUGAGCCCGAUAUCCUAUCUACUUGUUGGGAAGUAACGGCUCACCCAGGCGACCAAUGGUAGCCUGCCUGAGAGGGCGACCGGCCACACUGGGACUGAAACACGGCCCCAACUCCUACGGGAGGGAGCAGUGGGGAAUAUUGCACAAUGGGCGAAAGCCUGAUGCCGCGACUCCCCGUGAAGGAUGACGGCCUUCGGGUUGUAAACCUCUUUCUGCAGGGAAAAAACGAGAGUGACGGUACCUGCAGAACAAGCGCCGGCUAACUACGUGCCAGCAGCCGCGGUAAUACGUAGGGCGCGAGCGUUGUCCGGAAUUAUUGGGCGUAAAGAGCUCGUAAGCGGUCUGUCGCGUCGGAUGUGAAAGCCCGGGGCUUAACCCCGGGUCUGCAUUCGAUACGGGCAGACUAGAGUGUGGUAGGGGAGAUCGGAAUUCCUGGUGUAGCGGUGAAAUGCGCAGAUAUCACGAGGAACACCGGUGGCGAAUGCGGAUCUCUGGGCCAUUACUGACGCUGAGGAGCGAAAGCGUGACGCGCGA